Polypterus senegalus (gray bichir) is the source of this 2584-nucleotide long non-coding RNA. RefSeq lists it as uncharacterized. Lineage: Eukaryota; Metazoa; Chordata; Cladistia; Polypteriformes; Polypteridae. The transcript has 3 exons. The record is from RefSeq and is a predicted model, not a curated record.
CAGCUGGAAUGCUAAAAAACUUUUCACGUUUAAGGAGGAGGCGCCAUUUAAUUUCAAAGUCAAACCAAACAGACAGUAGGCUACUGUAUCCUGGUUUAAUAGUAAGUAGAAUGUCGUAUUUAUCAUUUUUAGAACAGUUUCAGUUUUUAUUCCAUUGUGAAGAAAAUGAAAAAUGCAGCUAUCUUCAUAUUUAUUAACACUGGAACUGCCAAACGCUUUUUUUUCCAAUAGUAAAACCGUCAUGGAGUCGCGGGGCAGAGAACUACUUCCGUAUUCAUUAGUUAAACGCCAACACAUUUAUUUCAGCUGGGCUCAUAAAAGAAUACACAGUAAAGUAGAAACCUAUUUUUAUGGUGACAUGUUACAUAGCUUUUGUGUGUCUGCACGUGUGCAUUUUUAAAUUUUGCACUGCAUCAUUUUACCAGGAAAGAGAACGAGCAGCUUUCCCAAGUUGAUUUUCGGCACGGAUAAAACCAUUUAAUUAUUUAAUUGUAAAAAGCAAAAUUACAGUUUUUGAUCUUCUGGAAGCAUGUAAUAUUAAGUCAAAGCAAUGUGUUUCUGUAAAGUGAAUCGUUCAUAAAAUGACAGCAUUACUUUAAUAUUUCAUGAAUUAUAUCGGCAAAUGUUAGGCAGCAUGAUGUUCCAGGUAUCGUGCUCUAUACAUCACCAGCUCGUAAUAAUUUUUGUGGCUGGCGUGCACUGGAUUCAAUGUUACUUUGCUACUUGUGUUUUCAGCUCUGCCUUUACACGUUAUUAGUGUCUCGCAGCUCCCGUCUCGUUUUGUAUUUGUAUUCAGUGCGGGGAAGUCGCUAUCUUUAGGGCAAAUAACUUACUUGCCAAGCUAAGUCAGUGCUUGAAGUUGAACAAUUUAGUGGCAUUGCACUCCAAACGAAAUCAGAGGUGAAUUUUCUGCCUGACUGUCCACAUGGGAAAAGUUUUAAAAGUCUUGAAACAGAAAGAAGUACAUUGGAGUUUGAAAUGAAGAAAAGAGUGUUGAACUGGAAGCAAGUCGAUGCCCUUAUGGGCAGUACAUUUUCUUUGAGGAGAAAGGAAGUGAUUGAGGAGGAGCCCUUGGUGAAAAACGUGAUGAUCAGGUGGCCUGUUUUGUUUACGGAAAGACAGGUUAGUUUCCUCUUUGUGAAACUUGGUUUUGUCAACAGUUUACUGCACUGCAAUAUAAAUGAUUAUGAUUGUUAAACUACCUGCCAAUCUCAAAGCAAACUGCUUUGAUCUUUUUCUGUAUCUUCUCAGCACAAGACUAAUAUAUGUUCAUAUUGUAUGUUUGCUGUUUGAUCAGAUUGCAGCAGAAUUUCAACGAAUAGUAUCUGCAGACCUUAAGAAAACCUUUUUUUGAUUGUCCUUGACAAAUAUCUGUCAGGAUUGUUGAGGCUGUAUUGUGCAAGAGACUUGGGAAUUGAUGAACUCAGAAGCCUUGUCCAGUCUGUUGAUAAAUGGGUACCACUCAAAUUAAUUGUGAUCACUAGAUGAUCAGAAUGUUCAGAUUGGUGUCUUUCUUGCAGAACUCAAACCAGCGUAAGAGAGCCAUUGUCCUCCUUGGCCUUCCUUAUUUCCUCAAAGAGAAGUCUGCCAAGCUUGUCAAGAGCUGUGAGCCUACACCUGAUGAAGAUAUUAUCAGAGGAAUGAAUAUUGGACUCUUCUUGAUAACAGAAGAGAAUCCUGCAAGCCUUCUCCCUCAGCAGAUUAUUGAUGUGGCAGUGGUUUUGGUGGAGCAGAUUGUACUUCAUGACUUGAAGGAUGUCCCAAAUGCCUUUGUUCUUCUCAUGGGUCUUCUCUAUGCCUUAAACAUUAGUUACCCUAAGAAGUUGAAAAGUACAUUAGAGGUCAUCCAAAAAAUUUUAAUGAACAUUGGUGGGGAUACAUGCUCUGCAAAAGGUCAUGGACUUCGGAACAGACUAUUGCAGAAAACUCUUUAAUAAUACUGUAUAUGUAAUUGAUGAAGAGAAAAGAAGUCCUAAUGUUUGCUUCCAGUGUUUUUGUCAAUAGUUCUGCUUUUCUUUUUCUCAUGCCUUAUUGCAACUAAAAAAUGACUUAAAGUUAAAUGCUUCUUUUUUCCAACUGAUGUUUGUUACUGUUAAAGUAUCUUUUAUAACCUUUGAGUCACACACAACCAGUUGUUCUUUAUUUCACUGGUGUGACGCUGUCCAAUGUCAGAGUUAAGAUUCUAAUGUGAAAGAGAUUUUUCAAAUUUGAUUUAACAAUUCUGUGCAUUUAAUGUCCCCACACAUAUACAUGCACAUUUGUGUCAUGUUCAGAGAGUUAACAUACUUUCACACAGCAUUACUGUUAAGAAAAAAAAAAAUACCUCUUAAUUUUUAAAUUUUCUGAUGCACCAUAUUUCUUUUUAAACACACAGACAGAAAAAGGAGAAUCAUUGCAUUGAUAAUUCUGAAUUAUGGAGGAUUAAAUAUUUGAAAUAAAUGUGUUUUUCUGUUCUUUACAACAUGUUGUUGGCUCACUUGACUGCUGUCCAGUUCAUUUUAUCGUAGAAUAGCUUUAAUGCAUAGAACUGCAAAUUCUUGUCAUGGUAACUUAAGUAAAGAGUUGAAAGAACUUGUCAUUUUAA